This 253-nucleotide ribosomal RNA is filed under the name uncultured bacterium. RNAcentral's name for it is "partial 16S ribosomal RNA". It matches the Rfam family "Bacterial small subunit ribosomal RNA", at positions 524 to 776 of the family's 1533-position model. The record is from RNAcentral.
UACAGAGAGUGCAAACGUUGUUCGGAAUUACUGGGCUUGAAGCGCACGUAGGCGGCGUUGUAAGUGUCGGGGGAAAUCCCACGGCUCACCCGUGGAACUGCCCGGCAUACUGCGAUGCUAGAGUGUGGUAGGGGAGAGCGGAACUCCUGGUGGAGCGGUGAAAUGCGUAGAUAUCAGGAGGAACACCGGUGGCGAAGGCGGCUCUCUGGUCCACAACUGACGCUGAGGUGCGAAAGCUAGGGGAGCAAACGGG